Molecule: long non-coding RNA, 539 nt
Organism: Heterocephalus glaber (naked mole-rat)
Lineage: Eukaryota; Metazoa; Chordata; Mammalia; Rodentia; Bathyergidae
Source: Ensembl
CCCACGAUGGCCCAUCAAUCUGCUGUCUGCCACUUGCUCAACAUCUUUCUGGAGUCUUUUCUGGCUAAUGGCUUCACGCUGAUUUUUUCUGAAAAGAACCCCCACCACCCACCAAGGAGAAUCUCAGUUAGCCAAGAUUAAACCCAUCAAAAAAAGUGACUUCAUGCUCACAAUCAAAGGCAGACAUCACUUCAUUGAACUGUCACCUGAGCUUGCGUAUUCACCGGCACGAGAUCCUCACCGGGCCGCUAAGACCCCCUUCCUGCGCAGGCGUGGUGAUAUCCAUCCAGCGCUCUUUCAAAUACACGCUUGUUAGAGACUCGCUCUCCCUUCAUAAUUCCCCCCAAAUUAGGAAAAAGAAUUCAUGCUGCAUAAAAUCUAGAAUAACAGGAUUACUUCCUGAGCAAUUAAAUGCAUGUCCAUUUUAAUGCAAGGAGGGAAAGCCCAGCCAAAUUCUGCUUUCACAUAGAACAAUAGUAGAACAAGAUGAUUUCUUAAAAUUCUUCAGGUGGAUACACUUUAGGUGAGUUUUAAGACAA